RNAcentral lists this long non-coding RNA (855 nucleotides) under Varanus komodoensis (Komodo dragon). RNAcentral describes it as "lncRNA (ENSVKKG00000006311.1)". The record is from RNAcentral. Lineage: Eukaryota; Metazoa; Chordata; Lepidosauria; Squamata; Varanidae.
AUGAUCGUGCAGAACAUGAAGAAGAAGAAUCUGAAGGAAAUGGAGAUCGCCUUAACUGUUUUCCAAGAGGAAGUGCUUUCAAAUAAACACAUCAUUGACAAGAUCAAAGCAGCAUCAGAAACUACAGACCAAGUGGCAUUUCUCAAGGACUUCAAGAACCUGAUGGAAAAUGUCAAGGAGUGUCAUCCAGAGGAGGUUGAAGAUGAUGGCACCAGUGGAGAUGACGAGGAAGGGCCAGAGGAAGAUGGGAGUCAUGAAGAGCAAAGGGAUAUGCCUGCCAAAGAAGAUGCUGGAAAUAAUGAAGAAUUGCUUGAAUUAUCUUCUUCUUCUUCUUCGGGGGAGGAGGAGGAGGAGGAGGAGGAGGAGGAGGAGGAUAGUAAUAGUGGUGCUAAGAACAGAGUGGUAUUUUUGGAUGUGGCUCUGGAAAAAUUCAUGACCUCCUUGGACUUUAAGAAUUGGAAGAAAAUGUUGGAGGAUAUUAAACCCACCAUUCACCCCACUGUCCUAGGGAGUCACAGGCGCUGAGCCUCACCCCAUUCUGCAGCAAAUAAGCAGCCCCAGUGCAGUUAGCUGGCCAACUUGAAGUGACGCCCUCUAGUGCUGACACUGGUUCCCCAUCUCCCUCGUAACAGUUCUGCCAGGACCAUUUUCUUUGCAAGGCACGGAGGGCAUUGCAUACCUGGAAGCUGUUUUUCUGCUUGUCCCCUGGAGCCAGCACCACCCACAGAAUGCAAUUCAUUCUGUGCAUCCCGAGUCUCUGGGUACUGGCCUGAAGGCACUGUGUUCUCUUAGCUGCAGUUUUUGACCACAAAUAAAGAUUGUAUAAGCCAGCAUUUCUCGAGUCCCUCUUCUCUU